This 1023-nucleotide long non-coding RNA is filed under the name Chrysemys picta bellii (western painted turtle). Its description in RNAcentral is "lncRNA (ENSCPBG00000010258.1)". Lineage: Eukaryota; Metazoa; Chordata; Testudines; Emydidae. The record is from RNAcentral.
CAAAGUGGGGAUACAGCCUUGACAGUGACCGUAAAAGGAUCUUGUCCCAUUCUUCUUCAUGGAUGGUGAUCUUGUAGCCUGCAACAACAUCGAUGGUGUGAUGGCAGCCCUCAACAUCGUUCACGAUCCAGAUGAGUGGAGACUGUUCAUUGAUUCAUCGAAGACGAGUCUUAAAGCUGUUUUACUGCAUAAUGGCAAUAUUUUGCCAUCAAUUCCAGUUGGUCAUGCAGUCCAUAUGAAAGAAAGCUAUGACCACGUGAAACAACUUUUAAGGUGCAUAAACUAUGACCAACCUCAGUGGCAGCUUUGUGGCGAUUUGAAGGUUGUUGCUCUCUUGCUUGGUCUGCAGACUGGAUACACAAAGUACUGCUGUUUUCUCUGCGAAUGGGAUAGUCGUGCAAGAGAUUCCCAUGACAUCAAGAAAGAUUGGCCACUCCGACAGUCAUUGGAGCCUGGGAGGAAAAGUGUUCAGCAUCCACCACUUGUUGAAUCAAGGAAGAUUUUGUUACCAGCCUUACACAUCAAGCUGGGUCUGAUGAAGAACUUUGUCAAGGCCAUUGACAAAACACAAGCAGCUUUCAAGUACCUCCAUGGAAAAUUUCCAAGGUUAAGUGAAGUUAAGAUAAAGGAAGGUGUCUUUGUUGGUCCUCAGAUUCGUGAACUUCUUCGAGAGGAUGCAUUAGACCAUGCACUUCGUGGCAAGGAAAAGACAGCAUGGAAAGCCUUCCAGUUAGUGGCAAUAAAUUUUCUCGGAAACAACAAGGCAGACAACUAUAGGUUGUUGGUGGAAAACCUCCUCAAGGCAUACAAAAGCCUUGGUUGCAACAUGUCACUAAAGAUACAUUUUUUGCACUCUCAUCUAGAUUUUUUUCCACCGAACUGCGGAGCGGUGAGUGACGAGCACGGCGAGCGAUUUCACCAGGACAUUGCAACAAUGGAGAAACGCUAUCAGGGCAAAUGGAGCCCAUCAUUACUUGCAGACUAUUGCUGGACAGCGACNNNNNNNNNNNNNNNNNNNNNNNN